CCUAAAUCACCCAUUCGCCACAUUUCACACUUACAGAACCCUAAAUCCCUCACUCUUUUCCUUCACGCUUCCUGAUUUCCCUUUCUUCUUCGCCUUCAAGGCUAUGAAAUUCAAUCAAUUCAAUGUAUUUUAUCAACCCGUUUUGUUAUAUUUGAUUGUUGGUGGAAGACGGUAGAGGUUCUCCGAAGUCACAGCUGCCCAUCCGGUGGUGGUGCUUCGAUAGAGGAAGUUGGUGGCGGUGGUCGUGGCCUGAAGAGGAAUUAUGACGGCAACAUGGGUUCAUUUAGGGUUUUGUCCAACGAUGGUCUUGUGAUGGUUGUGGUUCAAGGCACAAGGCGGCGGCUAGGGUUCCACCACCAUAAAACCCUAGGAAAGUCUUCAGAUCCUUAAUCCCAAAAAUCAUCUCAUCCAGGUGUCCAGUUGAAUUGACAGCCACCACUCGCCAUGACAACCACCUAGAACUGUCGUCGUUUGUUCGAAUCGCCUUCUUUCACUGUUUGACACAACCGCCGGCAACUAUCCAUUAUUUGAGUAUCCAUUGUGGUCGUUGUUGUUGCGAAGUCGCUCAAAGCCGCGAACUAGAAAGCGUCGGUUGGUUUCAGCAGCGUAGAGUCCAGCAAUCGACAUGUUCUAAAUCAUUUGUUUUGGAUUCGUCUCGCUCAACAAUUAAGAAAGUGGAUCCCCAAACGGCUGAGGCAAUAGACCAGUUUAUAGUAAAAUUAAAAGCGUGUGCAACAGGAAGUUCGUCUUUUACUUUCAUUCUUGAUGAUCCUGCUGGCAACAGUUUUGUAGAGAACCCGUUUGCUCCAUCCCCAGAUCCAUCAUUAAGUAUAGAGUUUUAUGAGUGAACUCGUGAGCAAGAUGCUUCAUUGGGCUAUGUCUUUGAAUCAUCAGAAUCAAGUGUUGAACCAUAUAUAUCAGUGGGAGAUUUUGUCUUGAUCUUUUUUGUAAAUAAAAUCAAGGGUGUUAUUGUAAAUUUAGAGUUGGGCCUCUCAUCGUAACCUUUAAAGGAAAGGUAAUGCGCCGAACUGGUUUGCAGGAUCAAGAAACGGUAGAAGCUUUGUCGUUUUUAUGCUCAUCGGUAGUAGACAUGUGUUAUGUGGCUUCAUAUUAUUAUUAUUUUACGACAUUCUUUGUCUUUCUUGUCCCGGCAGUAUUGGUUUUGUGCUUAUCGGAGCUGUGCGAGUCUCCUUCCGUGUUUCACAUCAUCUUAUGCUGAUUUCUUGCUAACGGGCUUCUUUGGACCAUGAUUUAUGUCUUCGAUCUUCGUGUUAGUCAAGUUAGGAUAAAGGACGGUUUAUAGCAUUGACAUUUGGAAAAGGUCCCUCGCAUUUUUUUCCGCUCAAGGCCUCCAAAAUGGUCAGGCUGGUGAUGAUGAGAACAAUUCGUUUCAUUCAUGGAUGAUAAAUUGAUAUUGUAUCAUGCUGCUGUGAUCAGGCGUAAGCCGGACUUUCAUCUCCUCAUGGGAGUUAUUGAAGGUUGUUGGCACUUGGCUGGAGCUGUGAUCGUCAAGGCAUUUGUUGUUGAAAUUGUAUUUUGAAAGAUAAUAAUGCGAGUUCAAAACAGGAGCUAUAGAAUAAUUUGAUGACUUUGUGUUGUUUGUUCCAUUAUAGGUUUUCAUUAGUCAGUAAUUACCUUAUUAGUUUUUUUUUUACAAACUGAAUAUUUUUUCUGUUA
Molecule: long non-coding RNA, 1677 nt
Organism: Helianthus annuus (common sunflower)
Lineage: Eukaryota; Viridiplantae; Streptophyta; Magnoliopsida; Asterales; Asteraceae
Exons: 7
Source: RefSeq, a predicted model, not a curated record